RNAcentral lists this ribosomal RNA (450 nucleotides) under uncultured bacterium. RNAcentral describes it as "partial 16S ribosomal RNA". It matches the Rfam family "Bacterial small subunit ribosomal RNA", at positions 354 to 796 of the family's 1533-position model. The record is from RNAcentral.
GUGGGGAAUCUUCCGCAAUGGACGAAAGUCUGACGGAGCAACGCCGCGUGAGUGAAGAAGGUUUUCGGAUCGUAAAGCUCUUUCGUUAGGGACGAACGUGCUCUUUGUGAAUAAUGAGGAGUAAUGACGGUACCUAAAUAAGAAGCCACGGCUAACUACGUGCCAGCAGCCGCGGUAAUACGUAGGUGGCAAGCGUUGUCCGGAAUUAUUGGGCGUAAAGCGCGCGCAGGCGGGAUAUCAAGUCUGUCUUAAAAGUGCGAGGCUCAACCUCGUGAGGGGACAGAAACUGGUAUUCUUGAGUGUCGGAGAGGAAAGUGGAAUUCCAAGUGUAGCGGUGAAAUGCGUAGAGAUUUGGAAGAACACCAGUGGCGAAGGCGACUUUCUGGACGAUGUCUGACGCUGAGGCGCGAAAGCUAGGGGAGCAAACAGGAUUAGAUACCCUAGUAGUCC